GAUGACCGCUGGCGGCGUGCCUAAUCCAUCCACGCCGCGCGAACAGAUAAGGUGUUUGCUCCUUUGACGUCAGCGGCUGACGGGUGAGUAACACGUGGUUAACCUCUCUUUAAGACUGGGAAACCUUCCGGAAACCGGAGCUAAUAUCCGAUAACAGUUGGAACCGCAUGGUUCUAACAUGAAAGAUGGUUUUGCAAUCACUUAUAGAUUGACCCGCGCCGUAUUAGCUAGUUGGUAAGGUAACGGCUUACCAAGGCAACGAUACGUAGCCGACCUGAGAGGGGGAUCGGCCACACUGGAACUGAGACACGGUCCAGACUCCUACGGGAGGCAGCAGUAGGGAAGCUUCCGCAAUGGGCGAAAGCCUGACGGAGCAACGCCGCGUGAGUGAUGAGGGGGUGCGGCUCGGAAAACUCUGUUAGUAGGGAAGAACAAACGUGUAAGUAACUGUGCACGUCUUGACGGUACCUAAUCAGAAAGCCACGGCUAACUACGUG
Molecule: ribosomal RNA, 497 nt
Filed under: uncultured bacterium
Lineage: Bacteria
Description: partial 16S ribosomal RNA
Rfam family: Bacterial small subunit ribosomal RNA
Source: RNAcentral